GAUGAACGCUGGCGGCGUGCCUAAUACAUGCAAGUCGAGCGAGCAGACGAGGAGCUUGCUCCUCUGACGUUAGCGGCGGACGGGUGAGUAACACGUGGAUAACCUACCUAUAAGACUGGGAUAACUUCGGGAAACCGGAGCUAAUACCGGAUAAUAUAUUGAACCGCAUGGUUCAAUAGUGAAAGACGGUUUUGCUGUCACUUAUAGAUGGAUCCGCGCCGCAUUAGCUAGUUGGUAAGGUAACGGCUUACCAAGGCAACGAUGCGUAGCCGACCUGAGAGGGUGAUCGGCCACACUGGAACUGAGACACGGUCCAGACUCCUACGGGAGGCAGCAGUAGGGAAUCUUCCGCAAUGGGCGAAAGCCUGACGGAGCAACGCCGCGUGAGUGAUGAAGGUCUUCGGAUCGUAAAACUCUGUUAUUAGGGAAGAACAAAUGUGUAAGUAACUAUGCACGUCUUGACGGUACCUAAUCAGAAAGCCACGGCUAACUACGUG
RNAcentral lists this ribosomal RNA (497 nucleotides) under uncultured bacterium. RNAcentral describes it as "partial 16S ribosomal RNA". It matches the Rfam family "Bacterial small subunit ribosomal RNA", at positions 28 to 507 of the family's 1533-position model. The record is from RNAcentral.